RNAcentral lists this long non-coding RNA (1244 nucleotides) under Anas platyrhynchos platyrhynchos (common mallard). RNAcentral describes it as "lncRNA (ENSAPLG00000029321.1)". The record is from RNAcentral. Lineage: Eukaryota; Metazoa; Chordata; Aves; Anseriformes; Anatidae.
CUUACCUAAACCUUCUCAUAUUGAAGUCAUCAUUUUGUUAGAAUAUAAGCACUUUCCAUUGCAAUAGUUUGGCAAGAACUGUGCUCACUUACCUUAAUUUUAUAUGGUAUAUAAACCCCUUUGGAAUGAAAUCAAUCUCAGUUAUUGGACAAGUCAAAAAAAUUUGUUCAAUUAAUACUUGAAAGUAACAUUCAGAUUGCAGUCAUAAUUCUUCACUUUCAGUCACUGUAAAGAGAUAAUGUCCUAAAACAGGACCAGGGACAAGAGCACAGAGUGGAGUAAUUUUCUAUAGUCGCUCAGCAGAGAGAAGCACAGGUACAACCCAGGCUCAGAGGCUCUCACAUGGGUAAGCAAUCUUACAGACAUUCCUUCUGUAGCAAGCCCUUGCAAGACUGAUGAAACAAUAUGCUAAUGAAAAAGGCUAUUUCAUUGUAGUUUAUUUAAAAAAUAAAAUAUAAAAAACAGGAUUGUACAGUUGUAUCUAUCAGCAGCUGAUUUUGAGCUCCACUGGGGCUAAAGAAGGAACAAAGCUGUUUCCAACAGCUGCUUUUCAAACAACUAAAUUCAUUUCCUUAUCAGGGCUGAAUUUUAAAGCUCUUAAAACAUCAACUUCCAUCUGAAAAUGAGGGUAGGAACAGCCAAGAAAUUAAAUGAUUUACUAUCAGCCCAUUUUUAUUAGCAGUAUGCCUCCCCGCUGGCAAUGCAACUUAUGAGCCUGGAGCUACUCACUUUUAUUCUGUAAUGGGUUCCUUCCAUGGCCUUCACUUAGAACAGCCAAGAGCAACAGAAGGAGCUUGUGCCUGACCUUUACUCCUAAUAGGAAAGAGAUAAAGCUAUAGCAGUGGUAUCUUGAAGCAGUUUUACAACAUACUACAACAGCUCAUUACAUAUGGCAGGCUGACCUAUAUAUCGAAUAGGUCAGCAUUUCAGGCUACCUGUCUUCAGCCUUCCAGAAUGUCCCCCCUCCUUGUCAUCUCUUGUUCUGCUUUGUUUCUCAUGUUGUUGCUGUGUGUUUUGCUGCAGACAUACUGUGGCAUUCUCUUGUGAACAGCUGUGUCUUUUAUAUCUCCUGUGCAGUCUUGUCACUGUCAAAUUCUCCACAUGCUGUAGUUUCACUUUCAGCACCGAUUAGGUCUAGUAGAAAAUUGUCUCUAGCCAGCAAAUACAAGUUCAGCACAGAUGGGAACUUGGCCUGCAGCCAUUUUAUUGACCUGAAAGGAAGGAGCUUUUCAAAGUUAAACUGA